CCCUUAGAUGUUCUGGGCCGCACGCGCGCUACACUGAUGCAUUCAACGAGUCUAAAACCUGGUCUGAUAGGGCUGGGUAAUCUUUUGAAAGUGCAUCGUGAUUGGGAUAGAUGAUUGCAAUUCUUCAUCUUCAACGAGGAAUGCCUAGUAAACGCAAGUCAUCAGCUUGCAUUGAUUACGUCCCUGCCCUUUGUACACACCGCCCGUCGCUCCUACCGAUUGAAUGAUCCGAUGAAUACCAUGGAUUGAGAGCACGAAUGGGUUCGCUCAUUUCUGCUGCUCGAGAAGUGGAGUAAAUCUUAUCAUUUAGAGGAAGGAGAAGUCGUAACA
This 330-nucleotide ribosomal RNA is filed under the name uncultured eukaryote. RNAcentral's name for it is "partial 18S ribosomal RNA". It matches the Rfam family "Eukaryotic small subunit ribosomal RNA", at positions 1470 to 1796 of the family's 1831-position model. The record is from RNAcentral.